AGAGUUUGAUCCUGGCUCAGAAUCAACGCUGGCGGCGCGCUUAACACAUGCAAGUCGCACGAGAAAGGGGAGCAAUCCCUGAGUAAAGUGGCGUACGGGUGAGUAACACGUGGAUCAUCUACCUUUUAGUGAGGAAUAACCGAGGGAAACUUUGGCUAAUACCGCAUAAGCCCGAGAGGGGAAAGUCGAAAGACGCUGAAAGAGGAGCCCGCGGCCGAUUAGCUAGUUGGUAGGGUAAGAGCCUACCAAGGCAGAGAUCGGUAGCCGGCCUGAGAGGGCACACGGCCACACUGGCACUGAAACACGGGCCAGACUCCUACGGGAGGCAGCAGUGGGGAAUCUUGCACAAUGGGGGAAACCCUGAUGCAGCGACGCCGCGUGAGCGAUGAAGCCCUUCGGGGUGUAAAGCUCUUUCGUCAGGGAAGAUAGUGACGGUACCUGGAGAAGCAGCUGCGGCUAACUACGUGCCAGCAGCCGCGGUAAUACGUAGGCAGCAAGCGUUGUUCGGAGUUACUGGGCGUAAAGGGUGUGUAGGCGGUUCCUUAAGUUUGCUGUGAAAUCUCCCGGCUUAACCGGGAGGGUGCGGUGAAUACUGAGGGACUAGAGUACGGGAGAGGAAAGUGGAAUUCCUGGUGUAGCGGUGAAAUGCGUAGAUAUCAGGAGGAACACCGGUGGUGUAGACGGCUUUCUGGACCGUAACUGACGCUGAAACACGAAAGCGUGGGUAGCAAACAGGAUUAGAUACCCUGGUAGUCCACGCCCUAAACGAUGCAUAUUUGGUGUGGGGCAGUUCAUUCUGUCCGUGCCGGAGCUAACGCGUUAAAUAUGCCGCCUGGGGAGUACAGUCGCAAGGCUGAAACUCAAAGGAAUUGACGG
Molecule: ribosomal RNA, 876 nt
Filed under: uncultured bacterium
Lineage: Bacteria
Description: bacterial SSU rRNA
Rfam family: Bacterial small subunit ribosomal RNA
Source: RNAcentral